This 301-nucleotide ribosomal RNA is filed under the name uncultured bacterium. Its description in RNAcentral is "partial 16S ribosomal RNA". It matches the Rfam family "Bacterial small subunit ribosomal RNA", at positions 509 to 807 of the family's 1533-position model. The record is from RNAcentral.
CAGUCGCCGCGGUAAUACGUAGGGUGCAAGCGUUAAUCGGAAUUACUGGGCGUAAAGCGUGCGCAGGCGGUUUGUUAAGACAGAUGUGAAAUCCCCGGGCUCAACCUGGGAACUGCAUUUGUGACUGGCAAGCUAGAGUAUGGCAGAGGGGGGUGGAAUUCCGCGUGUAGCAGUGAAAUGCGUAGAUAUGCGGAGGAACACCGAUGGCGAAGGCAGCCCCCUGGGCCAAUACUGACGCUCAUGCACGAAAGCGUGGGGAGCAAACAGGAUUAGAUACCCCGGUAGUCCCUGUCUCUUAUAC